Molecule: ribosomal RNA, 447 nt
Filed under: uncultured bacterium
Lineage: Bacteria
Description: bacterial SSU rRNA
Rfam family: Bacterial small subunit ribosomal RNA
Source: RNAcentral
UAGGGAAUCUUGCGCAAUGGGCGAAAGCCUGACGCAGCCAUGCCGCGUGAAUGAUGAAGGUCUUAGGAUUGUAAAAUUCUUUCACCGGGGACGAUAAUGACGGUACCCGGAGAAGAAGCUCCGGCUAACUUCGUGCCAGCAGCCGCGGUAAUACGAAGGGGGCUAGCGUUGCUCGGAAUUACUGGGCGUAAAGGGCGCGUAGGCGGACAGUUUAGUCAGAGGUGAAAGCCCAGGGCUCAACCUUGGAAUAGCCUUUGAUACUGACUGUCUUGAGUACGGGAGAGGUGUGUGGAACUCCGAGUGUAGAGGUGAAAUUCGUAGAUAUUCGGAAGAACACCAGUGGCGAAGGCGACACACUGGCCCGUUACUGACGCUGAGGCGCGAAAGCGUGGGGAGCAAACAGGAUUAGAUACCCCAGUAGUCCCUGAGCGGGCUGGCAAGGCGCAU